This 512-nucleotide long non-coding RNA is filed under the name Setaria viridis. RNAcentral's name for it is "long non-coding RNA (SVIR_LNC003681)". Lineage: Eukaryota; Viridiplantae; Streptophyta; Magnoliopsida; Poales; Poaceae. The record is from RNAcentral.
AAAGGGGGGGGUCUUUUAUCCCGGUUGGUGUUUCAAACCAGGAUAAAAGGCCUCUCAGAGUCUUUUUUUCCCAUUAGCCUUUGCAACCGGGAUAAAAGGUUCCGGUUGGUGAGCCCCCCACCAGUGACCGAGUUUUAGUCCCGGUUGGUGAACCUUUUGUCCCGGGCUAACUUUAAACCGGGAUAAAAGGGGCGUAUGGAAAGUCAGUUCUCUACUAGUGCCCCGUGCGAUUUAUUCUCACAUGUUUCAUUUGCAUCUUCAUUUUAGGAAUCUGGACCAUCACAUUUUUAUUACAACUUUUUGUCGGAAUCUUCAUAUACACUAUUCUCAAACUCUCCUAUAAUAUGCCGCUCGCAGUUUACUACGGCACGUCUCAUCGCAACAAUUAGGUUCCGUGAUGUUGGAUGACUAGGUCUCCUGGUGGAGUAUUAUAACUCUUUACUAGUGCUGAAAUGUGGCCAAGUCAUCCCGUAUGAUUCGUUCUCAUCUUCGAUUCAGGAAUCAAAGACCCC